CUUAGAUGAACAAUUUUCUAAUACGUUAAUUCAAUGAUACAAAUUUCCCUGUAAGUGCUGCUUUCACGGCAUCACAGAAAUCUUGAUAAAUUAUUUUCAUUUUCAUUAGUUCAAAAUACUUUUAAAUUUCUCUUGAGAUUUCUUCUUUGACUCAUGAUUUUUAUUAUUAAGGAAUGUUUUGUUUAAUCUCUCAUCUGAGGAUUCUCCAGCUAUCUUUCUAUAAGUGGUUCUUAGCUUGUUUUCAUUGUGAUCAGAGCACAACUAUUCUUUUUAAUUUGUUAACAUGUAUUUUAUGGCCCAGAAUGUGGCCAUAAGAUAAGAAAGGGAGUUUUGACCCAGAAUAUGUCACCAGGAUAACUUGAUGAAUGUUCCACGUGAUCUUGAGAAGAAUGUGUGUCUGCUGCUGUUGGAUGAAGAACUCUACAGAUAUCUAUUCUCUCCAGUUGGUUGAUGAUGUUUUCAAGUUCUACUAUGUCCUUACUUAUUUUUCUGUCUGCUGGAUCUGUCUGUUUCUGACAGAAUGAUAUUAAAGUGUCCAACUAUAAUAGUGGAUUUAUGGGUUUCUCCUUUCAGUUUUAUAAGUUUUUGCCUCAUAUUUUGAUGCCCUGUUGUUAGGCAUAUACACAUUAAGGAUUGUUCUGUCUUCUUGAAAAGUUGAUCUCUUUAUCAUUAUAUAAUGUCUUUCUUUAUCCC
Molecule: long non-coding RNA, 693 nt
Filed under: Marmota monax (woodchuck)
Lineage: Eukaryota; Metazoa; Chordata; Mammalia; Rodentia; Sciuridae
Source: RNAcentral